CGGUUGAUCCUGCCGGAGGCUACUGCUAUUGGAAUCCGAUUAAGCCACGCGAGUCUAAAGGACUUCGGUCCUUGGCGGACGGCUCAGUAACACGUGGAGAACCUGCCCUCAGGAGGGGGAUAACCCCGGGAAACUGGGAAUAAUACCCCAUAGGUCUAGGUUGCUGGAAUGCUUCUAGGCUGAAAGCUCCGGCGCCUGAGGAUGGCUCUGCGGCUUAUCAGGUUGUAGUGAGGGUAACGUCCUCACUAGCCUAUGACGGGUACGGGCCCUGAGAGGGGAAGCCCGGAGAUGGACUCUGAGACACGAGUCCAGGCCCUACGGGGCGCAGCAGGCGCGAAAACUCCGCAAUGCUCGAAAGAGUGACGGGGGGGAUUCCAAGUGCCUACGCUCAGCGUAGGCUGUUCAGAUGCCUAAAAAGCAUCUGGAGUAAGGGCUGGGUAAGACGGGUGCCAGCCGCCGCGGUAAUACCCGCAGUUCGAGUGGUAGUCGAUUUUAUUGGGCCUAAAGCGUCCGUAUCCGGUCUGGUAAAUGCUUGGGUAAAUCGUGGGGCUCAACCCUACGAAUUCCGGGUAGACUGCCAGACUUGGGACCGGUUGAGGAAGAGGGUACUUUAGGGGUAGGAGUGAAAU
RNAcentral lists this ribosomal RNA (629 nucleotides) under uncultured archaeon. RNAcentral describes it as "bacterial SSU rRNA". It matches the Rfam family "Archaeal small subunit ribosomal RNA", at positions 5 to 638 of the family's 1478-position model. The record is from RNAcentral.